Molecule: long non-coding RNA, 3629 nt
Organism: Herpailurus yagouaroundi (jaguarundi)
Lineage: Eukaryota; Metazoa; Chordata; Mammalia; Carnivora; Felidae
Exons: 3
Source: RefSeq, a predicted model, not a curated record
CCCCUCUCUCUGCCCCUUCCCUGCUCAUGCUCGCUCUCUGUCUCUCAAAAAUAAAUAAACAUUAAAAAAAUUUUUUUUUUAAGUUCCCAACUGUAAAGGGAAGCAUUCUCAAUCAGGUGUAACCCGUGACCUCGCUCUCAGGUCACUGCUGGCGGUUGUGCCAGGCUGUGGCCUAUCACUACCAGAUAGGAUAAGAAGGUUUUCCUCAUUCAGCUAUGUGGACCAUCAGAAUGUAAAAUUACCUGACCAAGUUUAGAUCUGUUCUGGUUUAAAGAGAAUUCGCUGCCUUUGUUUUUCCUUAGCGAACUAACAACUCACCUGCCCAACUGGGAUCUCAGUUUUGCCCUCUUCCCAAGGCCAGUUUGUCUCCAAAGAGACAUGCUAAUGGCUUAAUUGUUUUGUUUAUUCUGCGCCUCAUAAAUUCUGGUAGCUUCUUUUGCAUUAAGAGUAGAACUUUUUUUUGAGUGUCUUGGCAUUUCCUUUUGUUUUGAAUGGCUCUUAACGUUUGCUCCUAAAUGUUUUUUUGAAAGGUUGGUUAGCUCUUAGUGAUAGGUGUGGCUUUCUCUAAAUAGGAGGUUUUUCUGGGUGUGGAAUGGAGAAGGUGAAAAGGGAGGGAUUUUCGAAAGAAAUCCUAUGCACUAUAUCUAUAUGACAAACAGAUCAUUUUGGAGCCUGAUAUUUAUGCACUUAUGUUCGCUUGGCUCACAUACUUGAGUUUUGGGGGUUAAAAGAUUAAUGCAUGCAAAGGAAUGUUGAUAUUUAGCCUGACAAAAACUGUGCAUUUACAGAGCUGUGGUUUGCUUUUCAAAAUGUAGAAAUGUAGAGGUUUACUUCUUCACCUCUGACAAAGAAUUUCAAGUAUGAGACUCUUCUGGCUCAUGUAGUAAAUGCAUUUUUUAUAAGUUUCAUGUAAAUGACACGUUCUGGAUCAAGAAACUUGAUAAUGCACUAGGAGAAUAAUUCUCAAUGCAGGGUGGAAUCUGACUUUGGUGAAGGGAAGACUCUUGCAAGGGAAGGUUGAAGAAGGUUAAAUACACUGAGGUUGGUUAAAUCGGGUAUCCUGGCCCCUUGGAAGAGAAAUACUUUCUCUCCUACCAAGUGGAGUUUGGAAACUUCAGAGCUGGGAAAUAAUGUAUUAGAUUUUGAUGUGCUAAAUCACUUGAACAAGUAAUGAAACUAAUAUUAUACUAUAACUUAACUAACUGGAAUUUAAAUAAAAAACUUACAAAAAUAAAUCAUUCAGACAAGUACAUGAUCACGCUAUUUUUGGAUGUGUCUGUAAUUAUGCAGGGUUACAUGAUGAUAAAAUUUUCAGUGGCUUUUCCAGUUUCUGAAGGUAUUCUAUCCUUUGCAUUCUCAGUCAGUCCGCCUGGAGACCUUAGUUUUUUUGUGGGAGUAUGGGUCUAUAAAUUUAACAGCUUUUCACACCCCCCAAGAGAAGAGAAAUCUGCUAUUGGAAUGAACAAUUACUGGGGUGUCUGGGUGGCUAAGCUGGUUAAGUGACUGCCUUUAGCUCAGGUCAUGAUCUCAUGGUUCAUGGGUUCAAGCCCCACAUCAGGUUCUCUGCUGUCAGCACAGAGCCCUCUUCGGAUCCCCUGUCCCACUGUGUCUGUGCCCCUGACCCACUUGCGUGCUCUCUCUCUCUCUCAAAAGUAAAUUAAAAUAAACUAAAAAAAAAAAAAAAAAAAAAAGAAAGAAAGAAUGAGCAGUUACUGAGGACCCACUCCGUAUUGUUCUGCUUUUGUACCUCCUUUGAGGUAGGUAUUCGUUUUCCGCCUACAGACGAGGAAACAAAAUACCAUCUGAAAAGUGGCAGAGGAUGGAUUUAAAUUCAGCAUCAUCUGAAUCUGCUGUGGAGAGGAGCUGUCUAUUCCUAGACACAUGCACAUUCAAGUUGUGGGGUCUAUGGGCCAGCAGCAUGGGCACCAACUGGGCUGUUGAAAGAACUGCAGAACUUCAGGCCCCACCCCAGACCUCCUGAUUCUGAGUCUUCAUUUAAAUGAGACCCCAGGUGAGAAAGCACUAGUGCACAGGAAACCUGUGGUCUAAGCACGGUGACAUGACUCGAAACAGGUGUCCAGUGGAAGCCUGGUGUUGUCCUCCAGGAUGCCGUCUUACAAGGACAGGGAUGCAAACAGUCAAUCAUCUCUUAUCUUGCUGAAGCAGAAGUGACAUGGCAAUGCUCAGGAGCGGGGUGGAUGGAAAGUUUUCUCCAUCUGAGGCAGUUCUGGAGUCAGACGCCUGGAAUCAGGGGCUGCCUACAGCGUGAUUGGAAAGCCCUCCACCCAGAAUGACUCCUCCGAGGCUCCUGUCAAUGCCGAGCUUUGCCAUUACCGGUUGCUCUGAGCUGCUGCAUCAUUCUUGAUAAAAUGUUGGUUGGUUAAUAACAUCUCGCUGUAAACUAAUCUAUCAAACCUUCUAAAGGUGCCCAAGAACAGAUUCUGUCAGGCUGGAGAGAGAGAGAGAGAGAUCCAGACUCGGGAAUAUCAAUAGCGAAGAGUCCAGCCUCCAGAACCCUUCCACCCCUGGGGCUACAGAAAGCGUCCUUUGCCUUCUCUUCCUAAUUCGUACAGCUAGACUGGAGACAUCAGGGGCCUUUUCUGUCCCUCUCCUCCUUUCAGGACUCCUGCUGGUCCCAAACCUUGUGAAGGUGUCCUCCUUUGCUCAGCUGUCAUCCUGGUUUGAAUCUGCCUUGUCUUACGCUGGGACCAUCACAAGGGUUGCCUAAGUGAUCUUCCCUGUCUUCCCCCUUUAAUUUACAGAAAGAGCAGUGCCAGAAUCAUUUUCCUGGUCAUACGGCUUUACACCUGUCACUCUUACUCAAAAAACUCUCAGCUCUUACAGAAAAGAGGCUAAAGACCAAAAUGUGGAUCCAUCUCAACUCUAUUCCAGGCUGCCCCUGUCCAACUUUUAUUUUCCAGUAGUCCUUCUGGAAUAUGUAAACUCCAUGGGGCAGCCUGAAUGCCUUGUCCCUGCUAUUAGCUCCUAGCAUAGUGCCUGCACACCAUAGGUUUUCAAUAAAUAUUGAUUGAACGGAUGAAUGCACAAGCUGAUUCUCAUGUUUUAUAGUCUGGCUAGAAUUCACUCCUUGGUCAGGCUGUUCUUAAUGACUGGCCUUCCAUUCCCUUUCUUGCCAUUUAUCAGAAUCCUCUGAGGCCCACAUAAAGGCUCAUUUCCUGGAAACUUUUGAUUUAGCUCACUGAGUUCAUUUCUUCUUCAAAUCGUAACCCUUGUCAUGGAGUUAUUUGUUUGGUGCUCAAUUAUACGUAAUCUCACAUUGCUAUCUGUGUGUGAGUCACACUGUAUAGAUAGACUCUAAACCCCCUGAGGUCAGAAACAAUUUGCAUUUCUUUAUACUUUUCAGAGUUUAUCCUCUUUCCCUUUGGCCUUUUCUCAUUUUCCUGCCUCCCCUCCUUGUUCCCAGGUCAUUGGCCGCUCUUUGACCACACUUGUGUUGGGUAUUCCCCUUGGUUGUGGAUCAGGCACCCCUCCCCCCUGGAAUGUGUGUGGUCCCUGGGGACAGGUACUGCAUCACCUGGUUUCUCCCUGUGUGAAUGAUGGAUGCUAUAAGCUUUGUCCUUCUGAAUUUUCUGUCCCUCCUUUUCGUUCUGCCCAUCGGAAGAGAGUCG